GACGAACGCUGGCGGCGUGCUUAACACAUGCAAGUCGAACGGAAAGGCCCUGCUUUUGUGGGGUGCUCGAGUGGCGAACGGGUGAGUAACACGUGAGUAACCUGCCCUUGACUUUGGGAUAACUUCAGGAAACUGGGGCUAAUACCGGCUAGGAGCUCCUGCUGCAUGGUGGGGGUUGGAAAGUUUCGGCGGUUGGGGAUGGACUCGCGGCUUAUCAGCUUGUUGGUGGGGUAGUGGCUUACCAAGGCUUUGACGGGUAGCCGGCCUGAGAGGGUGACCGGCCACAUUGGGACUGAGAUGCGGCCCAGCCUCCUACGGGAGGCAGCAGUGGGGAAUAGUGCACAAUGGGCGGAAGCCUGAUGCAGCAACGCCGCGUGCGGGAUGACGGCCUUCGGGUUGUAAACCGCUUUCGCCUGUGACGAAGCGUGAGUGACGGUAAUGGGUAAAGAAGCACCGGCUAACUACGUG
Molecule: ribosomal RNA, 468 nt
Filed under: uncultured bacterium
Lineage: Bacteria
Description: partial 16S ribosomal RNA
Rfam family: Bacterial small subunit ribosomal RNA
Source: RNAcentral